ACUCAAAUGAAUAGACGGGGGCCCGCACAAGCAGUGGAUUAUGUGGUUUAAUUCGAAGCAACGCGAAGAACCUUACCAGGGCUUGACAUGGAAUUGACCGGACUAGAGAUAGUUCUUUCCUUCGGGACAAUUCACACAGGUGGUGCAUGGUUGUCGUCAGCUCGUGUCGUGAGAUGUUGGGUUAAGUCCCGCAACGAGCGCAACCCCUAUUGUUAGUUGCUACGCAAGAGCACUCUAGCGAGACUGCCGUUGACAAAACGGAGGAAGGUGGGGACGACGUCAAAUCAUCAUGCCCCUUAUGUCCUGGGCUACACACGUAAUACAAUGGCGUUUAACAACGGGAUGCAAAGCCGCGAGGUGGAGCAAAUCCCCAAAAAGCGUCUCAGUUCGGAUUGCAGGCUGCAACCCGCCUGCAUGAAGUCGGAAUUGCUAGUAAUCGCGGAUCAGCAUGCCGCGGUGAAUACGUUCUCGGGCCUUGUACACACCGCCCGU
This 492-nucleotide ribosomal RNA is filed under the name uncultured bacterium. RNAcentral describes it as "bacterial SSU rRNA". It matches the Rfam family "Bacterial small subunit ribosomal RNA", at positions 899 to 1397 of the family's 1533-position model. The record is from RNAcentral.